UAUGUGAUCGUCUCUCGCAUAUCAAUAAGCGGAGGAAAAGAAACUAACAAGGAUUCCCCUAGUAACGGCGAGUGAAGCGGGAAGAGCUCAAAUUUGAAAUCUUAAAGGGUUUCCCUUUACGAAUUGUAGUUCAAAGAAGUGUUUUCUGUUGAGGUUUUGGUAAAAGUUCUUUGGAAUAGGACAUCAUAGAGGGUGAGAAUCCCGUAUUUGACCUUUACUUUCAACUUUGUGAUACACUUUCAAAGAGUCGGAUUGUUUGGGAAUGCAGUCCAAAAUGGGUGGUAAAUUUCAUCUAAAGCUAAAUAUUGGCGAGAGACCGAUAGCGAACAAGUACCGUGAGGGAAAGAUGAAAAGAACUUUGAAAAGAGAGUUAAACAGUACGUGAAAUUGUCAAAAGGGAAGCGUUUGACACCAGUGUUGUUUUUCUGAAAAUCAAUUAAAGAACUGUUUAAGCUAAGCUGUUUAGACUUUAUCAGCUAUCUGUUUAGUUUUGAGCUUUUCUUUAAUGCACUUUUCAGUUAACAAGUCAACAUCAAUUUCUUUUGCUGUAAAAAGCUUGAGGAAGGUGGCUUGAGAUUCGUCUUAAGUGUUUAUAGCCUCUUGCCUAUGCAGUCGGAGAGAUUGAGGUCUGCAGCGUAGAUCCUUCGGGGCUAAAUGCAUUUGUGCUAAGUUAUAGCAUUUUAUAGACAACUUGUUGACUAUGAUUUGUCUUGUAGCUUACUCGCUUAUGUUAUUUUACCUACGCUUAGGAUGUUGACACACGCGCGUGCUCG
Molecule: ribosomal RNA, 773 nt
Filed under: uncultured Neocallimastigales
Lineage: Eukaryota; Fungi; Neocallimastigomycota; Neocallimastigomycetes; Neocallimastigales
Description: partial large subunit ribosomal RNA
Rfam family: Eukaryotic large subunit ribosomal RNA
Source: RNAcentral